Molecule: non-coding RNA, 74 nt
Organism: Podarcis lilfordi (Lilford's wall lizard)
Lineage: Eukaryota; Metazoa; Chordata; Lepidosauria; Squamata; Lacertidae
Source: the annotation of a GenBank genome assembly
CCUUAGGUAUGCUCAGGCGGCAGAGCAUGAGACUCUUAAUCUCAGGGUCAUGCGUUUGAGCCCGACAUUGAGCA